CCACGCGUCGUGCGAGUCCAACUACGAUCAUACCGUUGUUUGCGAGAUAUUUCACAAUGGCCGCACCGAUGCCGGAACUGGCGCCGGUGACGACGGCAACGCGAUUGUGCCAACGCUCCAUUUUUGGUUAAAAAAAUGGAAAAUUGAUUGACAAUACGAGUAUAAUGAAUGGGUCUACUAGUAUCAUCAUCAUGCAAUAAAAUUGUCUUCAGGGUUGCCGCUAUCAAAAAAUAAUAAAAGAAAAGGUAUAUUUUAAAAUAGUCACAAAAAAUGCUGGAAUAUAAAGCAGCAACAACGAUAAAAAUCGUAAAUUCGAUUACAAAACAAAGACCGAUUUCGAUAGUAAAUUCGCAUACGAAAGAAAUACCGAUUUUGAUAGCAAAAUUGAUUGUGAAAGCAAAAUAAUAUCGAUAUAAAUCUCAUAAAUCAAUAAUCGAUAUCGAUAACAAUACAAUAAACCGAUUUAAAACCAAUCAUAAUAGUUUUCGAAGUGAUUCCUGCUAAUAAGUAGAGCUUUCCCCACUUUUCAUUACAAAGAUGCUCUCAGGAUAGAAAGGGUCUCUACAAAAAUUACUGAUAGAAUGGAAUCGCUUUAAGCGAAAUUAUUUUCAAAAUUAACAUUUUUCUAAUAAAGAUUAAAUAAAGAAAGAUACCGAAUAAAUUUAAUAAAAAAUAAAUAAAAAUUUCGAUCGAAAAAAUUACAUUGUAGUCGAUAUAAUAUGGAAAAAAGUAGAUCGAUAGAAAAAUUAUUGAAUGCCAUAACUAUAGAAAAUAUUAACGAUUUUUCAACGUAGAACCUCUUUUAAACAAAAAAUGUUAAAACAAAUAAUCGAUUAUUAUAAUAAAGAAAUACAAACUAUUUGUAUUAAAAUAGCUUUAAUAAAACUCUAAAAGAUUGAAUUGAAUUAAAGUAAUCAUUUUACAAAUUAUAAAAGAAAACAUUUUAAUAUAUAUUUAAUAUUAAUAUAUUACAUAAACGGAGUUAGAGGCCAUCGUUUGGUAAAUAAUCGAUAAAAAGUAUUAAUCGUUACUAUCAUAAACAUUUCUGGAAAUAAAAACGGAUUUUAAUAAGAGAGCUUCAGUGAAACGAAACAGGUGGAGUCGAUAAAGCGCGUUAAAAUCUAUCGUUUUGCAGGUAAUGAUAGGUUGACUCGAUUAAUCGAUAAAUAAAUCAAUGUCAUAACUAUUAUUGUUAAUAUUAAACAUGUUUUAUAAACGAGUAAAAAUUAAUGAAAGUCAUGAGAGAUAUGUAUGUAGAGAUAUAAAUGCUAGCUGUGUGGAAUUUUUUUCUUAACGCUUCGCUGAUCAUUAAGCAACAAACGGCAACCUAUAUAUAGUAUCAUAUGAAGCAUGAAAUGCCUGUCAAACAGUUAUUGAAUAAUUGCAAUGGUGAUUUAAUGAAGAAUGGCUUAACAAAAUUGAAUUUGCAUUCAUUUCACUGCAAAUUAAUAGAAUAGAAUAGAAUAUAGAAUAUAGAAAGACAAGUUAAGUUUAGGUACGUGCGUUGUGUACAUUAUCGUUAAAUAACACUGGAUCACAAAUUUGAAUUUGUUUUUUGUUCCACGGAUGCCACUAUCCAUUUUGUAUGUGAAAUGGCUCGCUGAUUUCGAAAAUCGAAUUAUUUUUUUUUUUUCUAUGGAUACGUUUUUGAGAUAUUUGCAAUUUACCGUUAUUCGACCAAAAAAAAAGGUGUCUUCACUUAAUCAUGUAUAUCUCACUGACCAGUUGAGCCAUCUUACUGCAAAUUAUAGAAAAUAAAAGUGAAUGAAAUUUCCUAAAAAUAUUGCCUACUCCAUUUUUCCAUAGGCCUUAUAAUUUCUGAGAAAUUGAUUAAUAACUUCGAGUUUUUAAAUUUUUUUAUGAAAAAAUUAAAAAAAAAAAUAAACUUUGGCAAGAAAAAAAUUUUAAAACAAAAGAUAUUUAUUUCAUAUGAAGUCCUGUUUCUUUAGAAAAAAAAUAAGCUACCAACGAACAAAAUCCAUGGAUAAAUAGGAAAGUUAUACAUGAUCAAAUAAAUAUAUCCAAGUCGCGUAAAGUCAAUGUAUACGUAUAUGCGUAUGUAGUGUGUAAAGUAGGGGUGGGAUUGUUUUCGAAUAUCAUUAGAAUAAACUAAUAACGCUAUUCGUUUAAAAAAAAUUAAAUAAUUUCUUGGCAAAUAUAUCUUGGUAAAUUCAUUAAUUUUUUUAAGGCUAACAUCAACAGCAGGUAGUAUUUUCUUUUCCCGGCUCGUUAAUAUGAAGGAACUUUUUUGUUUAGGUAGGUUUUGUCUUUUUUUAUUUUUUCGCGAUCAAGCUUGAAAGUUCAUAAAUCUGUAAGGCUCGCCGAUUCCAGUUUAUAAUUACAAUAUAAAAAACCGUGAGCUAUUUUUAAAAAUAAAAUGAAUAAACGCGAGAAUUUGAGUGUACCAACGAUCCGGAUAUGUUCUGUUACAUAUGCGGUGAAUAUACUCUUGUACGGCAUCGGAGGCAGUUUAGAGAUUCGAUCCAAUCUAUAUAUUCAAAAUAUUUUGGUAUUGAUCCUAAAAAUAUUGAUAAACCAUGGACUCCGAAUAUUUUGUGUUCCUUGUGUCGAAUAAUAUUGGUUCAAUGGGAAUCAGGAUCAACAAAGCGAUACAUGAAAUUUAAUGUACCAAUAAUAUGGCGAGAACCUACAUGCCACUCAGAAGAUUGUUAUAUUUGUAUGACAAAAGUACUUGGCUUUGGAAAAUCAAGAAAAGUGAUUUAUGCUAACGUACCUACCGUUUCAUUGCCAGUUCCACAUUCAGCUGAAGUUGCGUAUCCAGUUUCGUUGUCAACAGCAGUAUCUGAAGGAUCAUAUGAAUAUGGGAAAUCAAGUUGUAAUGAAUUUUUAAUGGAAAACGAGAGAAACGUUCUAUCACAAGCGCAACUAAACGAUUGGAUUAGAGAUUUGGAAUUAUCCAUGGAAAAAGCUGAGCUACAUGCCUCUCGUAUGCAACAAUUUCAAUUCGUGUCACCCCAUGUUAAGGUGACAUAUUAUAGAAAUCGUCACGAACCAUUUGCCAAACACUAUACGAAAGAAGACAAUGUAUGCUAUUGCAAAGAUAUUCCGGGAUUAUUCAAAGAGUUUGGUCAACCAUAGGAUUCCGAGGAGUGGCGAUUGUUCAUAGACAGCAAUAAACUGAGCUUGAAGGCCGUAUAACUGCAUAAUGGCAACAAAAAGCCCUCGAUCCUGAUCGCGCAGAAGGAUCGAUACCAAGGUUUCUGGGACGUCGGUAUGAUGGGUGACUACUGUUGGUUUCUCAUAAGAGAAACCGAUCCUAAACUAAAUAAACGACAAAACAAAACACAUAAUCAUUUCGGCUAUAAUGUAAGAACAUCAACAAAAAUAACACAUUGUUUUAAUAUAUAUUACUAAUAUAUAAAUAAAUGAGUUUAUAAAAACUAAAAACGACAUGAAAAUUGACUUUUUACUUAACAGAAACAGCGCAUAGCCAGAUAUCCCACCCCUACUUUACACACUACAUACGCAUAUACGUAUACAUUGACUUUGCGCGACUUGGAUAUAUUUAUUUGAUCAUGUAUAACUUUCCUAUUUAUCCAUGAACUUUGUUCGUUGGUAGCUUAUUUUUUUC
Long non-coding RNA from Zeugodacus cucurbitae (melon fly), 3592 nucleotides. RefSeq lists it as uncharacterized. The record is from RefSeq and is a predicted model, not a curated record. Lineage: Eukaryota; Metazoa; Arthropoda; Insecta; Diptera; Tephritidae. The transcript has 3 exons.